CGCAUCAAAGACGGGCAAGGUUCCCCGGCUAAACGCACAUACGGGGAUGAAAUGGGAAUGCGGUGAGGGGGAUCCAAUCAGGACCCCGAUGCCGCAGCCGCCCCCGCGACUGUAAGCGGUGAGCGCGGUGCCACAGGCCACUGGGACCACAUCCCGGGAAGGCGGCACCAAGCCACGACCCGCAAGCCAGGAGACCAGCCCUGCACCGCCAACCGGC
Molecule: non-coding RNA, 217 nt
Filed under: Jannaschia donghaensis
Lineage: Bacteria; Pseudomonadati; Pseudomonadota; Alphaproteobacteria; Rhodobacterales; Roseobacteraceae
Source: RNAcentral